CCUACGGGAGGCAGCAGUAAGGAAUAUUGGUCAAUGGAGGCAACUCUGAACCAGCCAUGCCGCGUGCAGGAAGAAGGCCCUAUGGGUCGUAAACUGCUUUUGUACCAGAGAAAACCCGAGUACGUGUACUCGGUUGAUAGUAUGGUAAGAAUAAGCAUCGGCUAACUUCGUGCCAGCAGCCGCGGUAAGACGAAGGAUGCAAGCGUUAUCCGGAUUCAUUGGGUUUAAAGGGUGCGUAGGCGGACUGAUAAGUCAGUGGUGAAAUCUCUCGGCUUAACCGAGAAACUGCCAUUGAUACUGUUAGUCUAGAGUAUAGAUGACGUUGGCGGAAUAUGACAUGUAGUGGUGAAAUACUUAGAUAUGUCAUAGAACACCGAUUGCGAAGGCAGCUAACGAAACUAUAACUGACGCUGAGGCACGAAAGUGCGGGGAUCAAACAGGAUUAGAUACCCUGGUAGUCCGCACCGUAAACGAUGAUUACUCGUUGUUGGCAAUAUGACCGUCAGCGACCAAGCGAAAGCGAUAAGUAAUCCACCUGGGGAGUACGCCGGCAACGGUGAAACGUCAAAUGAAAUUGACGGCUGAGACGAGCGAGACGACGACGAGGGAGGAGG
This 614-nucleotide ribosomal RNA is filed under the name uncultured bacterium. RNAcentral describes it as "bacterial SSU rRNA". It matches the Rfam family "Bacterial small subunit ribosomal RNA", at positions 338 to 951 of the family's 1533-position model. The record is from RNAcentral.